AUCUGGGCGGCGGAAUUCAGGAUGGUCGAGCGAGUCUCGCGCUCGAGCGGCCAUUUGAUAUUUCCGUCGCCGUUGCAGACGUCGCGACCUGUUUGUCGUCGGUCCUUGCUCGGAGGAAUCCGCGAUCGAGUUCGUUGCGGGGCGCGUUUCGGCGUGUCUCGCGAUGAAGACGCGGCUCUCUGGCUGACGACGGACAGUAAGCAACGGUGGCCGGCGUGGUGUCUCGCACUCCGCGUCCGGUGCCGGUCAGCGACGAUUUCUUCGGGCCUCUUUCCGACCCGUCUUGAAACACGGACCAAGGAGUCUAACAUGCGCGCGAGUCGCGGGGUUUCGAGCGUGCCACGGUGCGCUCGUUACUUCCGAAACCCGUACGUUGAAGGCGUAAUGAAAGUGAACAGGGAAGAUGGCGUUCCGAGUCCACGAACCGUGAUCGAGUAUCGCGGCCGGACGCCCGCACUCCCGGGGCGUCUCAAUGGCUCGUCGCGGAUGCGGACGGUCGUUCUUCGGGGCGGCCGUCGGUCUGCGACGGACCGA
RNAcentral lists this ribosomal RNA (534 nucleotides) under Diaspis sp. D0313A. RNAcentral describes it as "eukaryotic LSU rRNA". The record is from RNAcentral. Lineage: Eukaryota; Metazoa; Arthropoda; Insecta; Hemiptera; Diaspididae. RNAcentral also lists the same sequence under 1 other name.